GACGAACGCUGGCGGCGUGCUUAACACAUGCAAGUCGAACGAAGAGCGAUGGAAGCUUGCUUCUAUCAAUCUUAGUGGCGAACGGGUGAGUAACGCGUAAUCAACCUGCCCUGCAGAGGGGGACAACAGUUGGAAACGACUGCUAAUACCGCAUACGAUCUAAUCUCGGCAUCGAGGAUGGAUGAAAGGUGGCCUCUACAUGUAAGCUAUCACUGAAGGAGGGGAUUGCGUCUGAUUAGCUAGUUGGAGGGGUAACGGCCCACCAAGGCGAUGAUCAGUAGCCGGUCUGAGAGGAUGAACGGCCACAUUGGGACUGAGACACGGCCCAGACUCCUACGGGAGGCAGCAGUGGGGAAUCUUCCGCAAUGGACGAAAGUCUGACGGAGCAACGCCGCGUGAGUGAUGACGGCCUUCGGGUUGUAAAGCUCUGUUAAUCGGGACGAAAGGCCUUCUUGCGAAUAGUGAGAAGGAUUGACGGUACCGGAAUAGAAAGCCACGGCUAACUACGUG
This 510-nucleotide ribosomal RNA is filed under the name uncultured bacterium. Its description in RNAcentral is "partial 16S ribosomal RNA". It matches the Rfam family "Bacterial small subunit ribosomal RNA", at positions 28 to 507 of the family's 1533-position model. The record is from RNAcentral.